UACGGAGGAUCCGAGCGUUAUCCGGAUUUAUUGGGUUUAAAGGGAGCGUAGGUGGAUUGUUAAGUCAGUUGUGAAAGUUUGCGGCUCAACCGUAAAAUUGCAGUUGAAACUGGCAGUCUUGAGUACAGUAGAGGUGGGCGGAAUUCGUGGUGUAGCGGUGAAAUGCUUAGAUAUCACGAAGAACUCCGAUUGCGAAGGCAGCUCACUGGACUGCAACUGACACUGAGGCUCGAAAGUGCGGGUAUCAAACAGG
RNAcentral lists this ribosomal RNA (253 nucleotides) under uncultured bacterium. Its description in RNAcentral is "partial 16S ribosomal RNA". It matches the Rfam family "Bacterial small subunit ribosomal RNA", at positions 524 to 776 of the family's 1533-position model. The record is from RNAcentral.